UGGCCAAAAUUUUAGCAUCUAAAAUUGUGUAUACAAUUCAAUGUACUAAAUUUAAAUUAAGAUUGUAAAAUAAAUAAAAAUUACAUUGUAUUAUUCUAUUUUCAUUUCUGUCAUUAGGAAUCUCAAGCUGUCAUUACAAUUCUUAUACAAAUUUUAAGAUGUAUGCGCUUAAGAUGCAUUUUCAUAUGUUUACAAAUUUUAAGAUGAAUGGUAAUAGUAUAGUUUAAGAUGUAUGGACAUUUUUUUUAUUUUACCCUGCAGCAUAGCUGCCAACUCUACUGGAUCUGCCAGCAGACUACUGGAUUUUGCCAUUUUCUUCUGGCUUCUCUACAUUUAGAUCUAUAACUUUUGUACAUUUUAGAUCUAUAAUUGAGUUUUCAAAAAAUCGCCCAUUAAAAAUGAGAUUUUACUCAAUUUAUUGCUUGGUUGAAUAUUUUAAAAAGUAUUACUAAUACAUAAUGAAAUGGACCUCGCAGGAAUCAGUUUCAAGCUUUUCUUUUUCUUUGCUCUAAAAAUUUGUUUCUUUUUUUUCAGAACUCCCUUUUUAAAUUAAAUCUUUUAACUGUCAAUAAUUAUUUACUUGUCUACUACUAUUUAAAAUUAUGAGUUAACAUAAAAAAAUUUCGAAUUCAUUUAAUGCCAAUCAUAAAGAAAAAAUAUUGCAGACCAUUUAUAGACAUUAUGGUAAUAAAGUUUUUGUAUUUUGAUGACAAUAAAAAUCCCUAAAAUUCUCUAUAUGUAAAAUAUUUAGUAUAUUAUGGAGCAGUUACCGUGAAAUUUAUAAUAUUUCUUAUCCAUCUUGAUUGCUGUUCUGCAGGAAACAAAAUAUUGUUACUGCUGUAAAAACUUUUAUAUAUUUUGUACAAAGACUUAUCUAAUAUAAACUAAUCAGGAACAAAAAUUUUCAAUAAUGUUAAAAUAAACUCAUAAAGGGUUAGGAUGGUAAUAGCAGCAAUAAAAAUAGUUCAAUUUACUUUAUUCAAUAUACCAAAGCAGGAUUGCUAAAUAUUUCCAUACAAAUAUUCUUUUUUCGUUCUAAAUCAGCUGCCACUGAGAAUAAGUGUUAAAUGAGUUACUAGUGGCCAUGAAACUGUUGAAAAGGCUAGGAAGUCAAACUCAGUGCAAAAGUAUUUUUAAUAUUUGUGCUUCGUCUGGGCUGCUGGAUAAUGCAAAUGGAAAAUGACAUUCUGGUAGAAUACGAGGACCCGUAAGUUCAAUCCUGACAGAAAACAAAACAACUGAUGUGUAUAUGCUGUUAGAUUCUCUUUAAAUCUGCCGGAGCUGAAAGUCCUCUUGUUGUUGUGCAGAAGUUUGAAGAAAGGCGUAUCUCUGUGUGAUUCAUCCCUGCUGUGUGUUUGUUUGGUUGCUGACAAUUUUAUAAAAUCUUUCAAUAAAGCAGAUUCAUCAGUUUAUUGCUCUGAUAUAUAGUUGCACAUAAACAAAAAAUUGCAAUUGAAGGGGAAAGAACUGCAUGAAAUAAAUUACUGUAAA
Parasteatoda tepidariorum (common house spider) is the source of this 1491-nucleotide non-coding RNA. The record is from RefSeq and is a predicted model, not a curated record. NCBI's taxonomy places the organism in Eukaryota, Metazoa, Arthropoda, Arachnida, Araneae, Theridiidae.